GACGAACGCUGGCGGCGUGCCUAAUACAUGCAAGUCGAGCGGACGAAUCGAAAGCUUGCUUUUUGUUCGUUAGCGGCGGACGUGUGAGUAACACGUGUGUCACCUGCCCUGUAUACGGGGAUAACACCGAGAAUUCGGUGCUAACACCGUAUAACCCGCAGUGUCGCAUGACGUUUCGUUGAAAUACGGCGCAUGCUGCUGCUAUCGCAUGGGCUCGCGGCGCAUUUGCUAGUUGGUGUGGUAACGGCUCACACAGGCGACGAUACGUAGCCGACCUGAGGGAGUGAUAGGCGACACGGGGACUGAGACGCGGACAAGACUCCUGAGGGAGGCAGCAGUAGGGAAUCUUACGCAAUAGACGAAAGUCUGACGGAGCAACGCCGCGUGAGCGAAGAAGGCCUUCGGGUCGUAAAGAUCUGUUGUUAGGGAAGAACAAGUAACGCAGUAACUGGAGUUACCGUGACGGUACCUAACGAGAAAGCAACGGCUAACUACGUG
This 498-nucleotide ribosomal RNA is filed under the name uncultured bacterium. Its description in RNAcentral is "partial 16S ribosomal RNA". It matches the Rfam family "Bacterial small subunit ribosomal RNA", at positions 28 to 507 of the family's 1533-position model. The record is from RNAcentral.